AACGAACGCUGGCGGCGCGCCUAAUACAUGCAAGUCGAGCGAGAAGACGUAGCAAUACGUUUGUAAAGCGGCGGACGGGUGAGGAAUACAUGGGUAACCUACCCUCGAGUGGGGAAUAACUAGCCGAAAGGUUAGCUAAUACCGCGUACGCUCCUUGGACUUCGGUUCAGGGAGGAAAGCGAUACCGUGGGUAUCGCGCUCUUGGAUGGGCUCAUGUCCUAUCAGCUUGUUGGUGAGGUAACGGCUCACCAAGGCUUCGACGGUAGCUGGUCUGAGAGGACGAUCAGCCACACUGGCACUGCGACACGGGCCAGACUCCUACGGGAGGCAGCAGUAAGGAAUAUUGCGCAAUGGGCGAAAGCCUGACGCAGCGACGCCGCGUGGGGGA
This 388-nucleotide ribosomal RNA is filed under the name uncultured bacterium. Its description in RNAcentral is "bacterial SSU rRNA". It matches the Rfam family "Bacterial small subunit ribosomal RNA", at positions 29 to 408 of the family's 1533-position model. The record is from RNAcentral.